This 2010-nucleotide long non-coding RNA is filed under the name Homo sapiens (human). RNAcentral describes it as "HSALNT0401821". The record is from RNAcentral. Lineage: Eukaryota; Metazoa; Chordata; Mammalia; Primates; Hominidae.
GCACAUCUUUGAGCCAGAAGCCUGAGAGUCACCUUUGAUUCCUUCUCUUUCUAACUAGCAAGUCCUGCCUGUGCCACCUCUAAGAGGCAUCUUACACCCAUCUGCAUUUCACUUUACCUUCCAGAAGGCAUCUCAAGAUGAAGGUUUCCUAUUUGUGAUUAUGAAAAAAAUGUCAAGAACAAGUCCCUUGGUGUUCUUAGACCAAAGUCAGAACAACAGACCUAGUAUUUGUCUGGGGCUGGCUGUGCACCCAGAAGGCCAUUCGUUCCAUGAAGAACAUGACAGAGGUACCUGGUCCUACCUGGAUUCUUGGGCAUGCGGGCAGCAGCAGCAGCAGCAGCCACAGUGAACUUCAUCCUAAGGAAAUUAAGCACACGUUGCGUGAGGCUGCUGUGGGGGUGCCAGGUGCUGAGGUUUCUGUAGUGGAUAAAACACAAAAAUACCAGCCCUCAUGGUGAAAAUGGAAUGACAAUAAACAAGAUAAAUUAGAUCUAUGCAACAAAACCAAGCCUUUGUGCACAUCUGUGGUUGUGACCAGUUGGAGAGACAUUAGGAGAUGAGAUACUAUGUUCACUCCUCACAGCUGUACCAGGGACCUGAGAUAUUCCGUCACUAUUCUAUGAGAUUUUGGAGAUCCCACCAGUGGUUUUCCGGUGCCAGGGUAUGAGAAGAUAGUCUCCAUGUCCAAACUCACAAUUUCAGAACAAAUUUCAUCAAGAUAAAGGCCUGGGCUGGUGAAUGGUUCCUGCUUUCACUAUUCCAGAUGUCCAGCUCUGUACCUUGCUGCUCUCCUUAAAGCCUGCCUCCCUCUAGAUGGUCUGGCUUGAUGAUAUCCAACCUGACGUGGCCUGAAGAGACAGACAGUGGCUCUUGCUAGCUAAUUAUUGUCAGAUGGAUCGGCAGCCGACCAACGCUUCUGAAACUAUUGUUUUUGGCAAAUGUUCCUCAACAUUUUCCUGGGAGCUAUGGUGCAUUACUCACGAGUGACAGAACCAACGAGCUUCAUCUCCCAAGAGGCUGGUGCAUCUGUUUAAAGGAGCAGGCACUAGGCAGAGCAGCCCCCACCCCACCCUCCAUGGCAGAGUGCAGUGGGGGAAGAAGUUUUCAUAGAAAUGCUUUCUAUAAAGCAUUUUCAUAGAGAAAGCAGGUUCAUAUAGAAAGCACUGGCUGCUGGUUGGAGUGGAGAGAUUGAAGACCCUCAUCUAGGAUCAAGCAACCCCCAGAAAACAAUUUUAAACAUGUCCAUUCAGACAAAAGGAGUCCAAAACCAUAAGAUCCUCUCAGCAUCCUGAACUAAUGUCCAGCUGUUAUCUCGAUGGGGAAACUGAGGCACAGAGAGGUUAGAGAUAUGCCUGAAGCCACACAGCUUGCAAGUGGUGGAUCUGGGAUUUGAACUUGUCGAUCUGGCUGCAGAGCUGAGCUCUUGGAGACUAGGUUUUACUGCCUAGUAGCAUGUAAGCCUGGAACUGCCGGCAGUCAUUUUGUAAGUUUGCCGAGUGAACCUCAAUGAGCAUGAAGCAGAGAGGAAAGCAGUACUAAGAGAUGCAAAAGAGUCUGUGUUCCAGCAAUGGGAUCUGAAGUCCUGGAUCAAACCUUACCUGGAGACAAGAUUUACCCAUCAGACAUGCCAGUUAUAAGACCCAAAUUUACCCUUUUUGGGGGAUUGAGUUUGAAUGAGUAUUUUUGUUUGUUUGUUUUGGCAUCAGAAAGACUCCUGAUUAAUACACAGUGUGACGCUGACCAAGAUGCUUCCUUUCUCUAGGACUCAAUUUUCUUAUCUGUAAAGUAAAGGGUUCAUCAACAUUCUUUGGUUGAAUCUUACCUGAAACAUUUUGUGAGCCUUCACCAAUCUCAUCUAAGCCUUUGUUUCCAUAGAACAAAGCCCUUUAAGAAAGGAGGGGAAAGUGUCAUGGAGUCUUACUGUCCUGAGUGCAAAUAUGGUCUCUGUAUUGUCCUUAUCUGUUCAUUUUCUGCCUCUCAGUACUAGAAUGAAAACUCUGGAAGAAGAAG